Molecule: long non-coding RNA, 1417 nt
Organism: Rhineura floridana
Lineage: Eukaryota; Metazoa; Chordata; Lepidosauria; Squamata; Rhineuridae
Exons: 3
Source: RefSeq, a predicted model, not a curated record
UUUAACAAUGGCAAAGAGUGGAGGUCAAGCAAAUAGCCUACUUUUUCAGUCUCGAUGAAGGGGGGUAAUUUUACCUUCUCAGCUCAGCUAUUCUCCAGUCCUUAUUUAUGAGAAGCUCACAGGCUGCUGAGUGCAAACUACAGGUGAGAUGAUCUGUAGAAUGAAGGAAAGGACAUUCUGAACACCUCUUGGCUACCUCAAAAGUAAGGAAGCAGAAGCUAUGGAGGAAGAUAACAGCCACAGUAUAAAAGGCCAAAAGAUGAGGCUGGCCCACCCAGCAAUUGCACAGCAUGUUAGGACAUACAAAACAAGCAUGCAGGAGUGCCAAUAUAGCACUGGACAAGGCUUUACAUUUAAAACACUUGCUGUGGCAGAUGUCUGCCACUUCUGGGCAUAGCCUUGCCAUGUAAAUCAAGCCCUUUUCUCCAUACCACGUGGUGACAUGAAGAAUCCCACCCAAUCUGAACCGUAAGGUUUCACCCACUGAAACAGUUGCUAUGUGGAUAGAUAUUUAAAGAGUCUUGUAGAAACACAGCAUCACCCCGUGUUCAAAUAUAUCUAUGAUAUGGUCAUCCUCACUCAAUGAUUACAUAUUCCCAAGGAUAUCUUUGUAUCUGAGAUAUAGAAAAGUGAGAGAAAUAUCUGAAAACCAGCAUGUACCAAGCUCAAAAGCAAUGCACCUAGCCUUAUUGCAAGAAAUGUAUGACUCUGUUUCUCUUCUACAAUUUUUAUUGGGUGGGUUGAGGAAUGAGGUAACCGAAUGUUCUACUUGCUAUAUUGUCCUCUUCAAAUGUUACUGAAAUUACUAAAUUUGUUUUAGCAAUACAAUGAGCUCUUCAGUAUAAGCAAGAGAAAUCAGACAUUAACUCAACAACACUUUUAUUUUCCUGGCACUUGACAACAAUUUCUGAAGAAGAUAAAAGACAGAGAAUAAUGGUAACUGUGAUUGCUAUAGCAGAAAACAUGGAGAAACAGAUCAUUUGACUUCAAGCAAAUAUCCAUCCAUCUCCUUGCCACUAUGACAAGCAGCACGCGUUGCUUCAAGUCAUAUGUGACUUGAAAUAUGAAGUAGCCAAAUAGAAAACAGUGAAUAUUAAUUGCUGUGAAGCACUAAUUAUUCAUGAAAUGGAAGUCUUAUCAACAGUAUGAGCAGAGCUGGAAAUUACUUUACCUCACUUUUAGGUUUCCUUGCUGUGGUUGUCCAUCAUAAAUGGACAAAAUAUCAAAAUCUUCUUCAAGGGCAAACGUAUGAAAUGAUAAUUGUAUCCUGUUACGUUCUCCUGUGAUAAUGAUCCAUGUGCAAUUUGCAUAAUUUGGAUAGCCAUGAGGAAAUCCUGGGCUUUCAAUUGUACCAUUUGGACCCUGUACUAAACCUCCACAGUUCUGACCUGAAAAACAAGGAGAGAGAGAGGAAAAA